Non-coding RNA from Chiloscyllium plagiosum (whitespotted bambooshark), 82 nucleotides. The record is from the annotation of a RefSeq genome assembly. NCBI's taxonomy places the organism in Eukaryota, Metazoa, Chordata, Chondrichthyes, Orectolobiformes, Hemiscylliidae.
GGUAGUGUGGCCGAAUGGUCUAAGAUGCUGGAUUACGGUUUCAGUUUCUUUGGAGGCGUGGGUUCAAAUCCCACUAUUGCCA